UACGAAGGGGGCGAGCGUUGUUCGGAUUUACUGGGCGUAAAGGGCGCGUAGGCGGCCCUCCUUGUCGCGUGUGAAAGCCCCGGGCUCAACCUGGGAACGGCGCGCGAGACGGGGGGGCUGGAGUUCGGGAGAGGAGCGUGGAAUUCCCAAUGUAGAGGUGAAAUUCGUAGAUAUUGGGAAGAACACCGGUGGCGAAGGCGGCGCUCUGGACCGAGACUGACGCUGAGGCGCGAAAGCGUGGGGAGCAAACAGG
RNAcentral lists this ribosomal RNA (253 nucleotides) under uncultured bacterium. RNAcentral describes it as "partial 16S ribosomal RNA". It matches the Rfam family "Bacterial small subunit ribosomal RNA", at positions 524 to 776 of the family's 1533-position model. The record is from RNAcentral.